UUAAAGGUGUUACCAUGGCUGAGAUUCAGCUCAAAUGUUUCCACUCCUAAAACCAGGCCUGAUUUGAAGUGGACCUUGUAAGUUCAGCCAGACCUGCCCCUGAACACAUGGAUCAGAGUGAAAGGAUCGGACACAGGGGCUGCAGCACUUCGGCUUUCUUACUGCAAGUUCAGUCAGAUGAGGUGUGUUUCAACUGGAACAGAUGGAAGUAGCUGUAGUAGGUGAGAAUCGGGUGAAUGGAGCAAGUGAAGUUUGAGGCAACAAAUCGUGAUGCCUCCCUCUCGCCCAGCAAGUCCAACCUCAACAGAAUCUGCUGCUUGGACUUCUUGCUGAUGUUUAAUUUAAGAGACUUUUAAAUGUGAAUAAAGUGAUUCUUAAACAAUUGUUGUCCUGAGAAAUUACAGCACAAAGUGUCACUGGAAUAAAUGCAUGGAUGGUGAA
Molecule: long non-coding RNA, 441 nt
Organism: Fundulus heteroclitus (mummichog)
Lineage: Eukaryota; Metazoa; Chordata; Actinopteri; Cyprinodontiformes; Fundulidae
Exons: 4
Source: RefSeq, a predicted model, not a curated record